Long non-coding RNA from Homo sapiens (human), 1972 nucleotides. RefSeq lists it as uncharacterized. The transcript is spliced from 5 exons. Lineage: Eukaryota; Metazoa; Chordata; Mammalia; Primates; Hominidae. The record is from RefSeq and is marked validated.
GUGAGUCUUACAAUGGGAAGAUGGGGGAGGCAGCACACUGGGGUCAGGAGUGGAGAUACUUAGGCUCCCCAGAGAAAUUAGUCACAAGUCUUAUCCCUUCAUCUCCAUUUACAGCCAUUUAUUUGGGAGCAACAUACUUUAAAUGAGUGAUAAACAAAAUGUCUCCCCACAGCCCCCACCCCAGCAUGUGUUCUGAAGUUCACAGGAAGGCUUCUCCUCAUUUGCUUUGGGGCCCGCAGGCUGCCUGCUAACAGCUGGGUCUUCCCAUGAACAAAUUAGACAGUUAAUGUUCCAGGAUGAAGAGGGCUUCGGGGAACAGAAUCUGCCGUUUAUUUGACUUGCUUCAUUAGACACAGUGCCAUCAUACCAAAAUUAGAAAAAAGAAGGAACUCAGCGGAAAUCAGCUACACAAGAAGAACCUCUCAGUUCUGAGAAUUCACAUUAACCAGUGAUUAAGAAAUAUUAAAAAGGGCUGAUAGUCCACUACGUUAUCAAGUUCAAAGCCUAAGAAAUAUUGAACAUUUCCACACAUGAAUGUGGGUACUAUGUUUAAUUUGAGAAUGGCCAACUGUCCUCGAAGUCUCAAUCUCUUUGGAGCCUACCAGCUCCGAGAGAAGUUUGAGGAUGCUGCAAAACCCUCCCCUGCAAAUCCAUCUACUCCUCCCACUUCUAUCCUAAUGGGUAUAGUUCUUGGCUGUGCUGAGGAUCUGUAAGGCACCAGAUGUGAAAGUAAGGAAGAAAGAUGGAUGUGGAAGAAAGUCACUGCCCAGAGAAUAAGGAGACCUGGAUUCUAAUCUCAGCUCUGCCAUUAACUAGCUGUGAGACUCAAGAAUAACUAAUCAUUUUGAUAACUCGUUUUUUUACUUUUUAAAAUGAGGAGCCAAGUUUAGACAAUGAGCUCGGCUCUUCACCAGUGAUAAAGUGUCUGGGACAUGCUUCCAUUCAAGCAAUGCUCUUCCUUCUUGUCUAUACUUUAUCCAAGAAAGAAUAAAUCAUUUCCAAAUAUUUUCAAAGAUGAAACUAUGGCUCAAAAGGGAAUAAGAGAUCAAGGCAAGCAUGGACAUCUUGUACGUGGAAGUGCAGACCAGAACUUGUAUCACAGCCAGUCAUAUCUGGUGCUUUCCAUGCUACUUUUACAUACAUGUAUCCUUAAAUUUGAUCCUCUUCUAGUUUAGUCUAAACUCUUUACUUUGUAACUUCCAAACCUAAAAGGUGCAGCAGACAUUGACAAUCUUAAUUCAUUUGUCAGGUCAUUUGGUUUCUUGGUUUCCUAAGGGACUGUAUCCUUCCUGCCCUGCUAAUGGGGAGACUUUUUGUUUUUUGUUUUCUGUUUUCCUUAAUAAGUGAGGCCAAGUGCUGUGUGUAACUGUGGGGUGGGCAAAAUUAGGAUUCCUGAAUCACUUCACUUUUUGUUGCCUUUCUCUUGGGAGAAUGGUUACCAUUGCAGAGAAGCAUAGUUAAAAUUGCUUUUGUGUUUCAUAAACGAAUUCAUACUUAGAUGUCAUUGACCAACAACUAAAUAGUAUAUCAGAGAUGAAAGGCAUCCUAGAGAUGACCAAAUCAAGCUCUUCAUUACUCAAAGGAGAAAAAAAUCCAGAAAGUGGAUGACAUAUGUUGAACUAGUGAUGGAAGUAGAACAGGGUAGUGUAUUUUCUGCCUCUUAAUUCUUCAUUUUUUACACUAAACCAGAUAUUAGGUAUAUGACUAGGAAGAUACGUGAGGUAAGGAGCAGAGGGUUUGGCUCCAAACUCAUCAUGUAGUCAUCCUCCUCCAAGCUCUGAGAGCUUCUCUCACAUGUUAAUUCAGAGGCAGUAACAAAAGAAUUAAUGCUCCUGAAGGUUUCUCAAUUUUAUCAUCUGGAAAGUGGAGUGAACCUUUGCAGAGUCCUUCUGAAGAGGGCUGACCUUGGACUGCACUAGGUUAUAUUCAUUUGCUAUUACUCAGCAAUAAAAAGUAAAUGCAACAAUAUAAA